GUCACUUUCCACAAUAUAUACAAGGUUGUGCUCUCCCACAAAAAUAAAACAAAAAGAAAAUAAAUCCUACUCCAACUUGGAGACUUACUAAACAACAGCAGGUUUCACACAGUACCUUUUUCUCAGAGUCUCAGGCUUAACUGCCUCCUCUCUCCCAGCUGUUAGAUUCCCCCAUGUCUUCAGAGGCUAACCUUUUAAAAC
Non-coding RNA from Pelobates cultripes (western spadefoot toad), 201 nucleotides. Lineage: Eukaryota; Metazoa; Chordata; Amphibia; Anura; Pelobatidae. The record is from the annotation of a GenBank genome assembly.